CGCUCUUUGUUGUAAUUAAUAGAUGAAGAGUCGGACCUGCCCAGUGACAUGCGUGUUAAACGGCCGCGGUACUUUGACCGUGCAAAGGUAGCAUAAUCAUUUGCCUUUUAAUUGGUGGCUUGUAUGAAUGGUUUGACGAGAGCUAAGCUGUCUCUUUUUGAAUAUUUAGAAAUUAAUUUAUAGGUGAAGAGGCCUAUAUGGAUCUGAGGGACAAGAAGACCCUGUUGAGUUUGAGUGUAAUUAAAAAUUGAGUUUUUAUUCUGUGAUUACUUAUAGUUGCAGGUCAUUAAUUAUAUUUAUAAAGAUUAAGUUUUUAAGUAAUCUUUAGUUGGGGCGACUAAGGAAUAUAAUAAGCUUCCUUUAGUGUACUAUGGCUGAGCUAGUUAGCUUGAUCCAAUUAUUAUUGAUUAAGGGAAAAAAUUACCACAGGGAUAACAGCGUAAUCUUUUUGGAGAGUUCUUAUUGAAGAAAAGGUUUGCGACCUCGAUGUUGGACUAAGAUAUCCCAGAGGUGCAGGAGUUUCUAAGGGUUGGUCUGUUCGACC
RNAcentral lists this ribosomal RNA (544 nucleotides) under Solariella delicata. RNAcentral describes it as "Machaeroplax delicatus partial 16S ribosomal RNA". It matches the Rfam family "Bacterial large subunit ribosomal RNA", at positions 1816 to 2586 of the family's 2925-position model. Lineage: Eukaryota; Metazoa; Mollusca; Gastropoda; Trochida; Solariellidae. The record is from RNAcentral.